GAUGAAGAACGUAGUGAAAUGCGAUAAGUAAUGUGAAUUGCAGAAUUCAGUGAAUCAUCGAAUCUUUGAACGCACAUUGCGCCCGCCAGUAUUCUGGCGGGCAUGCCUGUUCGAGCGUCAUUACAACCCUCAGGCCCCCGGGCCUGGCGUUGGGGAUCGGCGGAGCCCCCCGUGGGCACACGCCGUCCCCCAAAUGCAGUGGCGGUCCCGCCGCAGCUUCCAUCGCGUAGUAGCUAACACCUCGCGACUGGAGAGCGGUGCGGCCACGCCGUAAAACACCCAACUCUUCUGAAGUUGACCUCGAAUCAGGUAGGAAUACCCGCUGAACUUAAGCAUAUCAAUAAGCGGAGGA
This 352-nucleotide unclassified non-coding RNA is filed under the name soil metagenome. Its description in RNAcentral is "partial contains 5.8S ribosomal RNA, internal transcribed spacer 2, and large subunit ribosomal RNA". The stretch from base 1 to 120 matches the Rfam family "5.8S ribosomal RNA", at positions 35 to 154 of the family's 154-position model. The record is from RNAcentral.